Long non-coding RNA from Cydia fagiglandana, 174 nucleotides. RefSeq lists it as uncharacterized. The transcript is spliced from 2 exons. The record is from RefSeq and is a predicted model, not a curated record. Lineage: Eukaryota; Metazoa; Arthropoda; Insecta; Lepidoptera; Tortricidae.
UUUUAGGGUUCCGUAGCCAAAUGGCAAAAAACGGAACCCUUAUAGAUUCGUCAUGUCUGUCUGUCUGUCGGUCUGUCUCAUAGCCACUUUUUUUCCGAAACUAUAAGAACUAUACUGUUGAAAUUUGGUAAGUAGAUGUAUUCUGUGAACCGCAUUAAGAUUUUCACACAAAAA